GAUGAAGAACGUAGCGAAAUGCGAUACGUAAUGUGAAUUGCAGAAUUCAGUGAAUCAUCGAGUCUUUGAACGCACAUUGCGCCCCCUGGUAUUCCGGGGGGCAUGCCUGUCCGAGCGUCAUUGCUGCCCUCAAGCACGGCUUGUGUGUUGGGCCUCCGUCCUCCUCCCGGGGGACGGGCCCGAAAGGCAGCGGCGGCACCGCGUCCGGUCCUCGAGCGUAUGGGGCUUCGUCACCCGCUCUUGUAGGCCCGGCCGGCGCUUGCCGACACAUCAAUCUUUUUUCCAGGUUGACCUCGGAUCAGGUAGGGAUACCCGCCGAACUUAAGCAUAUCAAUAAGCGGAGGA
Molecule: unclassified non-coding RNA, 345 nt
Filed under: soil metagenome
Description: partial contains 5.8S ribosomal RNA, internal transcribed spacer 2, and large subunit ribosomal RNA
Rfam family: 5.8S ribosomal RNA (bases 1-120)
Source: RNAcentral